RNAcentral lists this ribosomal RNA (1408 nucleotides) under Lactiplantibacillus plantarum. Its description in RNAcentral is "bacterial SSU rRNA". It matches the Rfam family "Bacterial small subunit ribosomal RNA", at positions 63 to 1441 of the family's 1533-position model. The record is from RNAcentral. Lineage: Bacteria; Bacillati; Bacillota; Bacilli; Lactobacillales; Lactobacillaceae.
CGAACUCUGGUAUUGAUUGGUGCUUGCAUCAUGAUUUACAUUUGAGUGAGUGGCGAACUGGUGAGUAACACGUGGGAAACCUGCCCAGAAGCGGGGGAUAACACCUGGAAACAGAUGCUAAUACCGCAUAACAACUUGGACCGCAUGGUCCGAGUUUGAAAGAUGGCUUCGGCUAUCACUUUUGGAUGGUCCCGCGGCGUAUUAGCUAGAUGGUGGGGUAACGGCUCACCAUGGCAAUGAUACGUAGCCGACCUGAGAGGGUAAUCGGCCACAUUGGGACUGAGACACGGCCCAAACUCCUACGGGAGGCAGCAGUAGGGAAUCUUCCACAAUGGACGAAAGUCUGAUGGAGCAACGCCGCGUGAGUGAAGAAGGGUUUCGGCUCGUAAAACUCUGUUGUUAAAGAAGAACAUAUCUGAGAGUAACUGUUCAGGUAUUGACGGUAUUUAACCAGAAAGCCACGGCUAACUACGUGCCAGCAGCCGCGGUAAUACGUAGGUGGCAAGCGUUGUCCGGAUUUAUUGGGCGUAAAGCGAGCGCAGGCGGUUUUUUAAGUCUGAUGUGAAAGCCUUCGGCUCAACCGAAGAAGUGCAUCGGAAACUGGGAAACUUGAGUGCAGAAGAGGACAGUGGAACUCCAUGUGUAGCGGUGAAAUGCGUAGAUAUAUGGAAGAACACCAGUGGCGAAGGCGGCUGUCUGGUCUGUAACUGACGCUGAGGCUCGAAAGUAUGGGUAGCAAACAGGAUUAGAUACCCUGGUAGUCCAUACCGUAAACGAUGAAUGCUAAGUGUUGGAGGGUUUCCGCCCUUCAGUGCUGCAGCUAACGCAUUAAGCAUUCCGCCUGGGGAGUACGGCCGCAAGGCUGAAACUCAAAGGAAUUGACGGGGGCCCGCACAAGCGGUGGAGCAUGUGGUUUAAUUCGAAGCUACGCGAAGAACCUUACCAGGUCUUGACAUACUAUGCAAAUCUAAGAGAUUAGACGUUCCCUUCGGGGACAUGGAUACAGGUGGUGCAUGGUUGUCGUCAGCUCGUGUCGUGAGAUGUUGGGUUAAGUCCCGCAACGAGCGCAACCCUUAUUAUCAGUUGCCAGCAUUAAGUUGGGCACUCUGGUGAGACUGCCGGUGACAAACCGGAGGAAGGUGGGGAUGACGUCAAAUCAUCAUGCCCCUUAUGACCUGGGCUACACACGUGCUACAAUGGAUGGUACAACGAGUUGCGAACUCGCGAGAGUAAGCUAAUCUCUUAAAGCCAUUCUCAGUUCGGAUUGUAGGCUGCAACUCGCCUACAUGAAGUCGGAAUCGCUAGUAAUCGCGGAUCAGCAUGCCGCGGUGAAUACGUUCCCGGGCCUUGUACACACCGCCCGUCACACCAUGAGAGUUUGUAACACCCAAAGUCGGUGGGGUAACCU